This 512-nucleotide ribosomal RNA is filed under the name Thalassospira sp. Its description in RNAcentral is "bacterial SSU rRNA". It matches the Rfam family "Bacterial small subunit ribosomal RNA", at positions 39 to 588 of the family's 1533-position model. The record is from RNAcentral. Lineage: Bacteria; Pseudomonadati; Pseudomonadota; Alphaproteobacteria; Rhodospirillales; Thalassospiraceae.
GUGAUGCGCAGCUACCAUGCAGUCGUACGAGAAGGUUCCUUCGGGAACUGGAGAGUGGCGCACGGGUGAGUAACGCGUGGGGACCUACCUCUUAGUGGGGGAUAACGGUUGGAAACGACCGCUAAUACCGCAUACGCCCUUCGGGGGAAAGAUUUAUCGCUAAGAGAUGGACCCGCGUUGGAUUAGAUAGUUGGUGAGGUAACGGCUCACCAAGUCAGCGAUCCAUAGCUGGUUUGAGAGGAUGAUCAGCCACACUGGGACUGAGACACGGCCCAGACUCCUACGGGAGGCAGCAGUGGGGAAUAUUGGACAAUGGGCGCAAGCCUGAUCCAGCCAUGCCGCGUGAGUGAAGAAGGCCUUCGGGUUGUAAAGCUCUUUCAGAUGCGAAGAUGAUGACGGUAACAUCAGAAGAAGCCCCGGCUAAUUUCGUGCCAGCAGCCGCGGUAAUACGAAAGGGGCAAGCGUUGUUCGGAUUUACUGGGCGUAAAGGGCACGCAGGCGGUCCUGCCCAG